RNAcentral lists this ribosomal RNA (253 nucleotides) under uncultured bacterium. RNAcentral describes it as "partial 16S ribosomal RNA". It matches the Rfam family "Bacterial small subunit ribosomal RNA", at positions 524 to 776 of the family's 1533-position model. The record is from RNAcentral.
UACGUAGGGGGCUAGCGUUGUCCGGAUUUAUUGGGCGUAAAGCGCGUGUAGGCGGCCAGGUAGGUCCGUUGUGAAAACCCGAGGCUUAACCUCGGGACGCCGACGGAAACCAUCUGGCUAGGGUCCGGAAGAGGAGAGUGGAAUUCCCGGUGUAGCGGUGAAAUGCGCAGAUAUCGGGAAGAACACCCGUGGCGAAAGCGGCUCACUGGACCACAACUGACGCUGAGGCGCGAAAGCUAGGGGAGCAAACAGG